AUGGCUCCUAGGAAGAAGCUCAAGAGUGCGCCGCCGGUGACGGAGAGCACCACCGUCCACGACCUCCCCGACAGUCUCCUGCAGCACGUGCUCUCCUUCCUCCCAGCGCAGGCGGCUGUUCGGACGUGCGUGCUCGCCCGGCGCUGGCGCCACCUUUGGAGGUCCACCACAGGCCUGCGCAUCGUAGGCCUCGACGAUGAGGAGAAUGCCCAAGUCCAAGACCUCCGGAAGUUCGUGGAACAUCUGCUCAUGCUGCGCGAGCGCACCGACCUUGAAAGUGUUGAGAUGAAAUUCCACAGUUGCUCCGAUGACGAAAAGCCCUAUGUGAAUCUGUGGAUCCGUUUCUCUGUGAUUUGCAAAGUUCGGGUGCUCACCCUUCAUAUCCUUGAGGCUGAUUACCUCCCCCUAGACGACCUGCCUCUUGUGUCUCGGCACCUGAAAACAUUGGACCUUUGUGGUCUACUCCUACAAAAGACCUUUCUUGAUUUUGCUAGUUGUCCAGCAUUGGAGAAUCUGAAGAUGAAUGAUUGCAAAAUCAAUGGUUGGAAGAUAUCGUCCCUUUCCCUAAAGCAUUUCAGCAUCACUACUUGCUUCUCUGACCUAGAUUGCCGGCUCAACAUUUCUACUCCAGGCCUUGUCUCUUUGAAACUAGAUGGCUUUUCGGGUAAAACCCCUUUUCUUGAAAACAUGCCGUUGCUACAGACAGCAUGCGUGAAUCUUGGCAUAGGCUGCGAAGAUGUCUGUUUGAAUUAUAACUAUGGUAUCUUCUGUGGAGCUAAUAAGAAUGGAUGUGGGAAUUGUCUAUCAAAAAACGAUGGCCGCAGCGAUUGCGUGCUUCUAGGUGGGAUCUCAAGUGCUAAACAUCUUGAACUGAUAUCUAAAUUGGGAAAGUUCAUUUUCACAAGAGAUUUGAAUUGCCGCCCUACAUUUAGUAAGUUAAACACUUUAUUACUCAAUGAGUACUGGUGCGAGGCUCCUGACCUGGGUCCACUAGCUUGCAUUCUGCAAAAUUCACCAGUUCUAGAGAAGCUCACUCUUCAACUUUUCUCCAAGGGACCAGAUCAUAAAGUGGAAAUGAAAGGAAGCUACAUUCCGAUGGAGGGUCCGUCUGCAAUAUCAGAGCACCUUAACAUGGUUGAAAUCAAGUGUAAUGUGGUCGACGAGAAGAUUCUCAAAGUCUUGAAGCUCUUGUCUGCAUUUAACAUACGAUUCGGUUUCUUGUAA
This 1224-nucleotide ribosomal RNA is filed under the name Triticum aestivum (bread wheat). RNAcentral describes it as "partial small subunit ribosomal RNA". The record is from RNAcentral. Lineage: Eukaryota; Viridiplantae; Streptophyta; Magnoliopsida; Poales; Poaceae.